GACUCACUCGCAGGCGCCGGGCAACGGCGGUGCUUCCGGUGGCUGCCGUAAGUGUCCGCGCUCUGCGCAACUUACGACAACUCCCAGAAGUCCGCGCGCCUGUGGCCGUUGCUCUCUCAGGCGUCGUUAUUCCCGGCGGGAGCUUGCGGCCCCGCGGUGGCGAGACGAGCUUUUUCCUGUGAUCGCGACUAGCAUUGUGGCUUAGAAAGUUGCUUCUUGGUUCUGUUCCUUGGCGCGCCUGUCCCCUCCCCAUUGAACGGCCACGCUGGUUCUCAUCCAGCAACCGAAGCCGAGACUGUGGGAGGUGGCGCCCGGCAUCCAGGGCGGGACUAGCGCCUGAUGGUGCUCGGCUCUGUCAUGUCCUCGGGGGCCUUCCCGGCGCCUUGGCUUGUUGAGGAGAGACAAGACUGCGUUCUUGAGAACGGUCCAAGGCCGUUAACCCGGAGCCCGGGGGCAAGGGCGCCCGCCGCCAUCCGCGCCUGUGGCGGGGACUCGGAGACAGCCUGGGCACGGGGACGCGUCCUAGUGACAGAAACAAAGCCCCGGGUGUGCCCCGCGUGGAGCAUUCCGAGUGGAAGCUGUCAGCAUGCUAACUGGAGUGACGUCUGCCUGUGAUGUGUAGAACAGUCACAAGCACACUGGCACCAUGAGGAAGCCAGCCCAGGAGGUAAAGUCAGCAUGCUGAGAAUGGCAAAGCGGAAAGAUGGAAAGAACCAGUAUCUGUGAUGGAAUGAAUCCUCUUUGUGCCACUGAAUCUGCAUUUCCUAUGCCCACCUCAGGGACUUUACAUUAUGAGAUAAUAAAUGACCUUGUUUGUUUUUAUUAUAGAAGAUUUCAAACAUACAAGAGUAGAGAGAACAGUAUAAUGAAGCCCUCCUUGCAUCAGUCACCUUCACCUGGCUUUUUGGUCAGCAUUCUGCCUUUUAAUCCCUAUCUGCUCCCAGCCCCCACCACUGGAUUAUUUUGAAGCAAAUCCCAGACACAUAAAUUAUAAAUUUAUUUCAUCCAUAAAUAAAAAUGUAUCUCUGAAAGAUAAUGCUUUUUUCUAGAGUGGGCAAGUCCAAAAAAAGUGUUGUCUGGGGAUAGGGAAGAUUGACCAGAAAUUCCAAUGAAUGGGAAUUUGAGAAACUCUGGUUUCCUUUUGGGGUAAUGAAAAUGUUCUAAAAUUUAUUGUAGUGAUGGUUGUAAAACUGUGAGUAUAUUAAACCAUACAUAUUUUAA
Non-coding RNA from Callithrix jacchus (white-tufted-ear marmoset), 1221 nucleotides. Lineage: Eukaryota; Metazoa; Chordata; Mammalia; Primates; Cebidae. The record is from RefSeq and is a predicted model, not a curated record.